GACGAACGCUGGCGGCGUGCUUAACACAUGCAAGUCGAACGGAAAGGCCCUGCUUUUGUGGGGUGCUCGAGUGGCGAACGGGUGAGUAACACGUGAGUAACCUGCCCUUGACUUUGGGAUAACUUCAGGAAACUGGGGCUAAUACCGGAUAGGAGCUCCUGCUGCAUGGGGGGGGUUGGAAAGUUUCGGCGGUUGGGGAUGGACUCGCGGCUUAUCAGCUUGUUGGUGGGGUAGUGGCUUACCAAGGCUUUGACGGGUAGCCGGCCUGAGAGGGUGACCGGCCACAUUGGGACUGAGAUACGGCCCAGACUCCUACGGGAGGCAGCAGUGGGGAAUAUUGCACAAUGGGCGGAAGCCUGAUGCAGUAACGCCGCGUGCGGGAUGACGGCCUUCGGGUUGUAAACCGCUUUCGCCUGUGACGAAGCGUGAGUGACGGUAAUGGGUAAAGAAGCACCGGCUAACUACGUG
This 468-nucleotide ribosomal RNA is filed under the name uncultured bacterium. RNAcentral describes it as "partial 16S ribosomal RNA". It matches the Rfam family "Bacterial small subunit ribosomal RNA", at positions 28 to 507 of the family's 1533-position model. The record is from RNAcentral.